GUCCACGCCCUAACUAUGGAUACUCGACAUCAGCGAUACACUGUUGGUGUCUGAGCGAAAGCAUUAAGUAUCCCACCUGGGAAGUACGUCCGCAAGGAUGAAACUCAAAGGAAUUGGCGGGGUCCGCACAAGCGGUGGAGCAUGUGGUUUAAUUCGAUGAUACGCGAGGAACCUUACCUGGGCUAGAAUGCAGAUCGACCGUGGGUGAAAGCUCAUUUUGUAGCAAUACACGGUUUGUAAGGUGCUGCAUGGCUGUCGU
Molecule: ribosomal RNA, 259 nt
Filed under: uncultured bacterium
Lineage: Bacteria
Description: partial 16S ribosomal RNA
Rfam family: Bacterial small subunit ribosomal RNA
Source: RNAcentral